This is a transfer RNA of Nitrosococcus oceani ATCC 19707, 74 nucleotides long. It matches the Rfam family "tRNA". From Rfam's summary of the family: Transfer RNA (tRNA) molecules are approximately 80 nucleotides in length. Their secondary structure includes four short double-helical elements and three loops (D, anti-codon, and T loops). NCBI's taxonomy places the organism in Bacteria, Pseudomonadati, Pseudomonadota, Gammaproteobacteria, Chromatiales, Chromatiaceae. The record is from Rfam.
GCGCCCGUAGCUCAGUUGGAUAGAGUACCUGGCUACGAACUAGGGGGUCGGGAGUUCGAAUCUCUCCGGGCGCG